AUUGAACGCUGGCGGCAUGCCUUACACAUGCAAGUCGAACGGUAACGGGCCUUCGGGUGCCGCCGAGUGGCGCACGGGUGAGUAAUACAUCGGAACGUGCCCGAUCGUGGGGGAUAACGAGGCGAAAGCUUUGCUAAUACCGCAUACGAUCUACGGAUGAAAGCCGGGGACCGCAAGGCCUUGCGCGGGCGGAGCGGCCGAUGGCAGAUUAGGUAGUUGGUGGGAUAAAAGCUUACCAAGCCGACGAUCUGUAGCUGGUCUGAGAGGAUGAUCAGCCACACUGGGACUGAGACACGGCCCAGACUCCUACGGGAGGCAGCAGUGGGGAAUUUUGGACAAUGGGCGCAAGCCUGAUCCAGCCAUGCCGCGUGCAGGAUGAAGGCCUUCGGGUUGUAAACUGCUUUUGUACGGAACGAAAAGCCUUCUUUUAAUACAGGAGGGUCAUGACGGUACCGUAAGAAUAAGCACCGGCUAACUACGUG
RNAcentral lists this ribosomal RNA (482 nucleotides) under uncultured bacterium. Its description in RNAcentral is "partial 16S ribosomal RNA". It matches the Rfam family "Bacterial small subunit ribosomal RNA", at positions 30 to 507 of the family's 1533-position model. The record is from RNAcentral.